AUUGAACGCUGGCGGAAUGCUUUACACAUGCAAGUCGAACGGUAGAGGGGGCAACCCCUCGAGAGUGGCGAACGGGUGAGUAAUAUAUCGGAACGUGCCCAGUCGUGGGGAUAACGUAGCGAAAGUUACGCUAAUACCGCAUACGAUCUAAGGAUGAAAGCGGGGGAUCGCAAGACCUCGCGCGAUUGGAACGGCCGAUAUCAGAUUAGGUAGUUGGGGGGGUAAAGGCGCACCAAGCCAACGAUCUGUAGCUGGUCUGAGAGGACGACCAGCCACACUGGAACUGAGCAACGGUCCAGACUCCUACGGGAGGCAGCAGUGGGGAAUUUUGGACAAUGGACGCAAGUCUGAUCCAGCCAUUCCGCGUGCAGGAUGAAGGCCCUCGGGUUGUAAACUGCUUUUGUACGGAACGAAAAGGUCUCUCUUAAUACGGGGGGCUCAUGACGGUACCGUAAGAAUAAGCACCGGCUAACUACGUGCCAGCAGCCGCCGUAA
Molecule: ribosomal RNA, 495 nt
Filed under: uncultured bacterium
Lineage: Bacteria
Description: partial 16S ribosomal RNA
Rfam family: Bacterial small subunit ribosomal RNA
Source: RNAcentral